ACUUCCAUGGGGAUGGAAGUUAGGGCUGGAACUCUGCUGGUCACAGCUCUUUAUGGUAGAUGGGGGAGGCUGUGGCCCUUUGUAACUUAACAGGAAUUUUAAUUAGUUCUCAGAAAACGCUGAUGUUUAUCAGGACUCAAGCAAACAAGCUCUUCUUGGGAGUGUAUUUGCCAACCAGAAGGCUUUGGACAAGUUGGUGAACUGUGGUGGAAUAAAAACCUCCAGCUUGAGAGGAGGGGAGAGAUGUGAGGUCUGCGGGCCCUGCCUUCCUGCUACUGUGGAUAACCUACAGCAAUCCGUCUGUGCCUUGGCUGUCCAAUGGAGGAUGAGAUCAUAACUUCCCCCAAUAAGUUCUUUGUGUGUACUGUAUGUGAGUACAUGCUUGUGUGGGUGUGUAUGUAAAAAUGUACACUCGUAUGUGGAGACCAGAGAUGCAUGCCGGGUGCCUUCCUCAAUCGCUUUCCACCUUAUUUCUUUUUAGAUUUAUUUAUUUUAUUUCAUGUAUAUAAGUGCUUUGCCUACAUGCAUAUGUGUGUUCUUUGUGUGUUGGUGGUACCUACAUGCAUAUGUCAGAUGAGGACUUUGGAUCCCCUGGAACUGGAGUUUACAGUUGGCUGUGAGCCACAGUGAGGGUUCUGAGAACCUAACCUGAGUUCUCUGUAAGAGCAGCAACCUGAGUUCUCUGUAAGAGCAGCAAGUGUUCUGACCACCGAGCGAUCUCUUCCGCCCUCCACAUUAGUUUCUGAGGUAGGGGCUCUCACUGAAGCUGGAGCUCACUGAUUUGGCUAGGGAACAGAUGCAUGCAGCCAUGCCUCACUCCUAUGUGGGUGCUAGGGUCCUCAUGCCGUCAUGGCAGGCAUCGUACUGACUGAGGUAUCUCCUAGACCCUUCUAGGUUUUUGUGAGGAUUAAGUGACUGACACAUACUGUAAGUACAAAAAUAUUUGCCACAACAACAACAAUAACGCCCAAUGUCUUAAUAGUAAAGACACAAUUUUCUAAUUCUGACUGUUUCGUGGUUCUCUGCCCUGGUGCUGAGUGAGAGGAAUUGGGAGGAAGGCACUGGACUUCUCCAGAAUGUCAGACUGAGUCCUGCACAAAGGUCUUCUGAGAGCUGCUGGGGGAUGGGAGGAGUGCUCUGUCUAGAGGGGCUGGAGACUGACCCAUUGUUUAGCUGUGCCUUUACCCCACAAGCACAAGGGGCAUCAGGAAAUAAGGCUGCUUUGUAAGAAAGUUCACUUUACUGACACUACCCUCUGGCUUGGAACAAAAGUAAUGGGAGCUCAUUCACAAAACAUCAAUUUCUUCAGCAUGCUGCCCCUGGCACUUGCCUUGUGGAUCUGUGGCAGAGUGCAUGAAGAGAGCAUGCUGCCACCACCAACCUACAGGCAUGGCACAUGUCUCACAGCUGACAACAGUAGACACACAUGUAAACCAGGAUCACGCACAGCCAAGCCUCACACACAUGUCAUCUCACAUCAUCUGAGUGAUGAUCAAAUGGUCAGACAGGGGCUCUCAUGAGUACUCAGUAGGACAAGCAUGCUGAUGGGGGCAGAGGGGGGCGGGUGAGCUUCUCAAAAGCCCAGGAAGGAAGCCACCCAGGCUAUGCUCUGGCUCAGGGAUGGAUCUCCAGGGCCAGGCCUGAUGCUCUCACACCUCAUGCCAUUGCCUCUGAAGGGCCUCUCCGCAGACACGUGAGGAUGGAGGGGAGGAAAGCGGUGCAGACUGAGGGGCUCACACAGUCCUUCACAAUGAAGCUGCCCUUGACCCUGCCCUUUCAGCAUCCCCAGUGCCACCUUAGGCUCUUCUCUGAGCGGCUUUUAUUCCCAGACCUUCUCAUCUGCCACAAGCCUUCAGGGCAUUUGACUGGCAGCCAUGGUAAAUGAAUCCCGCUGAAGAGAGAUAAGAGCAGGCAGAGACUAAGGAGAGACCCCACCACAAAGGAAGCAGAGUAGUCAGCCAUGGAAUGUCCUCGGUUGCUCCGUCAGCAUUCUGUAUGAGCCUUGAAGGGGCUCUGGAAAUGCCAGCAGCCAGAACCUGACCCAGCUCAGACAGCUGGUACAGAGAGCUCAGAGCUCUUCUCAUAACUGAUGCCACUUUUGUUGGUUCCAAAAGAAACAUGCAUGCCUCUGCUCUGAAAGACACCACCUGCGCCUCCCAAAUCUGCCUUAGUCCAGCCAUGUGGUCCAGGGCUUUUAAAUUCUGCCAAUAAUCUUGACUAGGGCUGGUCUAGAGCAGUGGGGUAGGGUGACACAGCCUCACAACAGGAGGGGCCAGAGCUAAGUCCCAUGAGUGGAGGUAAAUGGGCAAACACCUGAUCCAGUCACUUAAAGCUCACAGAAGCUGGAGACUCCACCAGCAGACAGGGCAGGAUUUGGGUGCCAAGCACCGAGAUGCAGACUGCUCCCAGCCUGUUCUGGCAUGUGAAUAAUAGCCAAACAGCAGCUAGGGGAAGAGGCUGUUUACUUGAGUUCAAACUAUUUAUAGCGUCAGCAAUCUGCACAUAUUUGGAUGACAAAUCUCUGGGUUUCAAGUGAGCCGAGCUUUGCUCCUGGACAAUUUCAACAAACACAUUCCCUCCCCACGCCACCCCCGGGUCCCCCAACACGUGUUGCCCUCAGGAUGUCUAACUUGAGUUGCCGAGCUUCUAAAGAUUAUAAAAAGAAAUCACAUUUCAAGAGCAUGUGACUUUUAAUUCAUCUAUCUAUGGGUUUGAAAUACAUAAUAUUUCCUUUAAGGCUUAGAUCAUGAAUCUCAAUCCAUGCACAUUCUUUAAUAGUUUCCAAAGAUCCCAUAAACUGCCAACAGUAUCUGAAUGACUAUAAUCAGCAUAUUCUGCACUGCUAUAACGCUGUCAUGCCCAGCUCAAGACCUACACAAAGAACAUUUCUUAUGACACAGUUUGUGUAGGAGGAUAAUGGUUUUCAGAAGUGAUCUACAAAUAUGUAACCAUACAGGCGUGCCAAACACACAGCAGAAGCAUUCCCCACUGACUGCAGAGCAGAAGCAGUCAGUGCAGGAUUACAGAGGCCUCUGAAACUCACCGCAUGCCACAUGGGAGAAAGGUGGGCUGCGACAAAAGGCAUGCAGAAACUUCUGCAGCUUUAACUCACCAACAGCAUGGCCAAUGAGUCCGUUUGGGAAAACUAGCUACCUCUAAAAGCCACUUUGUUUUUAGAGCUAGGCAUUGCCUCACUCUGAAGCAAGAAAAAUGGCGGUUGUUAGGUCCAUAUGCAGGAUGGCUGCAUUCAAAUGUAAACAGCUGAUCAGUGAGAGGAGUGGUGCUGGACCAGCAGUGUAUGGAGAGGGAACACGGCUUGUCUUUGAAAGGACUGUCCUGUUUCCUAAAUCGUUCCUCUUGCUAAUAACACUUACUAGAAGAUAAAUGAAAGGUUC
This 3395-nucleotide long non-coding RNA is filed under the name Mus caroli (Ryukyu mouse). RNAcentral's name for it is "lncRNA (MGP_CAROLIEiJ_G0003306.1)". Lineage: Eukaryota; Metazoa; Chordata; Mammalia; Rodentia; Muridae. The record is from RNAcentral.